This 1380-nucleotide ribosomal RNA is filed under the name Triticum aestivum (bread wheat). RNAcentral's name for it is "partial small subunit ribosomal RNA". Lineage: Eukaryota; Viridiplantae; Streptophyta; Magnoliopsida; Poales; Poaceae. The record is from RNAcentral.
AUGCAAGCAAGACCAGCGCGAUGCAAGCGUGGCCCGUGCCCACCAACGCCACCGAGCUGCGUGGGUUUCUCGGCCUCACCGGCUACUACCGGAAGUUUGUCGCCAACUACGGGGUGCUCGCCAAGCCACUCACCCAGCUCCUCACCAAGAAAGGGUUCCACUGGGACGAGCGCACCCAGGCGACAUUCGAUCUGCUCAAGCAAGCUACGUCACCCCGCCGGCAAGCUGCAGCCGCUGCCAAUUCCGACAGAACCAUGGCAUGACCUGACCAUGGAUUUUGUCGAGGGAUUGCCUACAUCGGAGGGAUUCGACACGAUCAUGGUGGUGGUCGAUCGUUUGACCAAGUUUGCCCACUUCGUGCCCCUUCGCCAUCCUUUCAAUGCAACGCAAGUGGCACGAGCCUUCUGGGACUCCAUCAUCAAGCUCCACGGUGUUCCGCACAUGAUCGUCUCUGACCGCGACAAGAUCUUCACAAGCGCCAUGUGGAGGGAAAUUCUCGCAGCCGCUGGUACCAAGCUCCUCUAUUCCACAGCAUACCAUCCACAGACGGACGGGCAGAGCGAACGGGUGAACCAGUGCCUCGAGAUGUUCCUUCGCUGUGCCAUCAAUGACCAGCCCAAGCAAUGGCGUAGGUGGCUUCCUGCAGCAGAGUUCUGGUACAAUUCAACGCAUCACUCUUCGCUUCGCUGCUCUCCGUUCAAGGCACUGUACGGGCAGGAUCCCAACUUGGGAGGACUCCCAGCUUUCAGCAGUGAGCUGCCAACCGACGCAGCCACAUGCGACCUUGACUGGGCGGCGCACACUGAGAUGCUGCGAGGCCAUCUCAAUCGAGCCCAAGACCGUUUCAAGAAGCACGCAGACAAGCACCGCUCCGAGCGCUCCUUCGCCGUUGGGGACCAAGUCCUCCUCAAGCUCCAGCCCUACGUCCAAGUCUCCGUCGCCAGCCGCCCCUGCCGCAAGCUGGCGUACAAGUUCUUUGGUCCAUUCACUGUCCUGGAGCGUGUUGGCAACCUCGCCUAUCGCCUAAAGCUGCCACCGGACGGGCGCAUUCAUCCAGUCUUCCACAUCUCCCAGCUCAAGCCGUUCGUCCCCAGCUACACUCCCGUCUUCUCAGAGCUGCCAAAGGUGCCUGAUCUGACGACGACGCCACUAAAACCCAUUGCCAUCCAGGAACGCCGCAUGGUCAAGAAAGGAGAUGCCGCCCUCACUCAGGUAUGGGUGCAAUGGUCCACUUUGCCAGCCGACGCAACCACCUGGGAAGAUUACGACGUCAUUCGGAAGCGUUUCCCUAACGCCGAGCUCUGGGAAGAUGAAGCAGCUGCUCAAGAAGGGGCGACCGUAACGCCUUCAGGUUCAGUCCAGCAGUUAACUGAACCCUGA